AGCUCAUGGAAUUUGGCUCCAAACUUUGAAUUCAGUCUCUGAACGUGUAUGUUCCCAAGAAUCCCAGCCUAUCCACUUUGUCUUUUCAUUCAGCUCCAGCUGUCAGAAUAAAAGUAAACUGAAAAUAUAAUGAGUUAGCAGGCACCCACCAGUACCCGUCAUGCUGUGCCGCAGGCUCAGCUCUGCCGCUCACGCCACACGUGCUGCCUUGUGACAGGUAUGUCUGGCUUUCUUUUCUUAUGAAAACCCUUCCUUUUACUAAGAAACUCUAACACCCACAGGGGUGGAAAGGUUACAGUUGUUAGUGCAUGGGGAGGAAAAGGGUGCGGUUCAAAGAAUACUCAUUUCAUAUUUUUUUUACAAACGCAAACCAUCAGUAGUGCUGGGCCAAGAUCUGAAAUCAGUUUAACUAUCACAGAUCAGAGAGAAAUUCAAGCUGGUUUUGCAUCUUGUGCAAACAGCUAAUAUGACUACCCAAAGCUCUGUGCUACUGCAGGACUCUUAUAUUUUUGGAUAUUAAAUCUGGGGUUAAUACAAAAACUGUGUCGACCACGGAAGCAAAGUAAUAAAAUUCAUCCUCCCAUUCUGAAUCCCAAGGGAGCGGAGUGGCUGAAGAGCAAAGAAGUGCCUUGGACAAACUUGCGGUUCAGAUAAACCAAAUCUUACUCAAACACUCUGCUAUAAGUAUCCUGCAAUCCAGAUCUCCCACUGCAAAUGAUUCAUUUCCCCUCUUGGCCUGGCUGUGUGCGCACGUGUCUGGUGGUGGUGAGCCAGAGCUGACCAGUGCCCUGGGACAAAGAAAGGAAAAGAAGGUAAAAGGGCGGGGGAGAAUAAUCUACCCAGUCUCAGGGGACAUUUUUCACCAGUUUAGGGCAUUUCCACCAGAACAGUUUUGGUAAUGAACAGACCAUAAAUGUGCUUGGGGUGGCUUGAACAUCUGAGCAUUCCUUGAACUCUACAAGACAAGGGUUUGGCAGGAGAGUGUGAACCAAACUUGCAAAUGUUCCCCUGAGCUGGGCCAAGAGGGACAUCUGUAGCUGCUGUCUGUGCCAGGAGGGACCUGGAUGAUAUAAAUUUCUAUUAGGAACCUUUGUAUUAAGCCUAGUUUGCACAAGCAGACCCUGUAACUAUCAAAGGCAAUAGUUCAAAUAUGCCUUCAUGUGUGUCCAAGUCUUCGUGCUGCAAGGCACAGAGUUAGAUGGGUGGGGC
RNAcentral lists this long non-coding RNA (1209 nucleotides) under Cyanistes caeruleus (blue tit). RNAcentral describes it as "lncRNA (ENSCCEG00000014583.1)". The record is from RNAcentral. Lineage: Eukaryota; Metazoa; Chordata; Aves; Passeriformes; Paridae.